Molecule: microRNA precursor, 62 nt
Filed under: Ornithorhynchus anatinus (platypus)
Lineage: Eukaryota; Metazoa; Chordata; Mammalia; Monotremata; Ornithorhynchidae
Description: Oan-Mir-181-P2c_pre stem-loop
Source: RNAcentral
AACAUUCAUUACUGUCGGUGGGUUGUGAUAAAUGAAAAAAACUCACCGCCAGAUGAAUGCCA